GACGAACGCUGGCGGCGUGCUUAACACAUGCAAGUCGAACGGAAAGGCCCUGCUUUUGUGGUGUGCUCGAGUGGCGAACGGGUGAGUAACACGUGAGUAACCUGCCCUUGACUUUGGGAUAACUUCAGGAAACUGGGGCUAAUACCGGAUAGGAGCUCCUGCUGCAUGGUGGGGGUUGGAAAGUUUCGGCGGUUGGGGCUGGACUCGCGGCUUAUCAGCUUGUUGGUGGGGUAGUGGCUUACCAAGGCUUUGACGGGUAGCCGGCCUGAGAGGGUGACCGGCCACAUUGGGACUGAGAUACGGACCAGACUCCAACGGGAGGCAGCAGUGGGGAAUAUUGCACAAUGGGCGGAAGCCUGAUGCAGCAACGCCGCGUGCGGGAUGACGGCCUUCGGGUUGUAAACCGCUUUCGCCUGUGACGAAGCGUGAGUGACGGUAAUGGGUAAAGAAGCACCGGCUAACUACGUG
This 468-nucleotide ribosomal RNA is filed under the name uncultured bacterium. RNAcentral describes it as "partial 16S ribosomal RNA". It matches the Rfam family "Bacterial small subunit ribosomal RNA", at positions 28 to 507 of the family's 1533-position model. The record is from RNAcentral.